GUCAGAUUGUUUUUUUUAUAUGUUGGUUAGUUUUACUGAACUUUUUAUUCUUUUUUCUUUAUUCUUUUUAUCCUUUCCUUCUGUCUUAGAAUCAAUACUAAAUAUUGGUUCUAAAGCAGAAGAGCAGUAAGUGAUAGGCAAUUAACGUUAAAUGACUUGUGCAGGGUCACACAGGUAGGAAGUGUUUGAAGUCAAAUUUGAUUCUAGGACCUCUUGUAUAUCUAGGACUGGCUGUUCUUCCAUGAGCCACUUAGCUACCCCUUCUUAGUUUUUCAUUAUAAAGAAUCUGGGAAGGAAGGCAUAGAAGAAUAGAUAUAAUGGGAAAUGAAAAUAAAAGAUAUCAAUAAAAAUAUAUUAUAAAGGUUGGCCUUUAUUUUGGGAAUAAAUUGAGGUCAUCAAAAAAUAUGUACAACUUCCUAAAGGCAACUUCCUAUUCCCUUUCUCAUUUUCAAAACAAGACCCAACUCACUGCCUGUUUGCAUGUUUGUCCAAGAUAAGUAAGUGUGUGUAUUUAUAUGUGUACAUAUGACUGUAUGAACAAGCUCCACAGGUUGUCCAUCUAACCAAAUACCAUAAUCAGAACAAUAAGUAUUUCUUUAUCUACUUUUUCCUCCUGUUGUUGAUAAUUACGUUCUUUUGGAUGUUUAUAGAUCUCAUCAAGGAAGCUCUGCAAUGUUCCCUGGGCAGAAUCAGGGCAAAAAAAUAUAAGAGCAAUUUCCAGUUCCUGGGUCCCCGGAUCCCUGAAGAGAUCUGAUGGGCUGCUCUUGGGGGGCAUCUGCAUGUAGCCCGUGCUUCAAGAGAAUUCAGGAAAUGGCACACCAUUCCAA
RNAcentral lists this long non-coding RNA (827 nucleotides) under Monodelphis domestica (gray short-tailed opossum). Its description in RNAcentral is "lncRNA (ENSMODG00000048097.1)". The record is from RNAcentral. Lineage: Eukaryota; Metazoa; Chordata; Mammalia; Didelphimorphia; Didelphidae.